Molecule: long non-coding RNA, 1344 nt
Organism: Branchiostoma belcheri (Belcher's lancelet)
Lineage: Eukaryota; Metazoa; Chordata; Leptocardii; Amphioxiformes; Branchiostomatidae
Exons: 6
Source: RefSeq, a predicted model, not a curated record
UGCAGCCUAGUCCCCCAUUGUUAUGUGCGCACCAACUUUGACCAACCAUAACUCGCUAAUCCGGUCACAUGACGGGCUGAGUUUGUAGAAGAAGGCAGCCAUGUUUGCAGGCUUCGUGUGGGAAGUGUUUCAUGGAAGUCCGCCUAAAAUAUCGCGGUGCUUGGACAGACGGCAGCGACGUAGCGUACAAUGGCGAGAUUACACGAAGCGGGAAGUGAAGGCCAAGUUCAGCCCGUGUUUGGUUACCUUUUCCAAGUUUUCCCGUGGAUGAAACCUCCUGAAACCUGAAAUCGAUCUGUUUGCACGUGUUUUGGUGGAGAGAAACCCUCGUCUACUUUUUUUCUACAACGCCGGAGAUUACAGCAAAACAGGCUCAGGAAUCUUGCCCGUGUGGUCUGGGCUGACCUUUAGCAGGUGUGCCUUCAGUGUAGCCUUCAGCCGUGCAACAGGGUCAGCGAUGGAACGUGUUGACUGGGAGAUGUGGUUGAACUGUGCGUGCACUUCUUCAAUCCCCUGCUCUGCCAGAAAACCAAGGCCGAAGCCCCAGUGGCGGAUACACGGGACCACAUGAUCUUCCAGUCCGAGACCAUGGAUGCUGCCUCAGCAAAGACGACUUCGGCCAUCUCAUCGUCGACUUGCAUUUGGUAGGCCAGGAAAGCCAGCUGGUCCUCCUGUUCUUCGAUGGUUUGGUCCAGUUCAUCGGCCUCCAACCGGUACUUCUGGGCACCGUCGAUGGCGUCCACGUAUCGCUGGAAUGGCCCCAGCUCCUGGUCCGCCAUGAUUUCCUCGCGGUUGUCAGGCUCGCUCAGGACCAGCAUUCGUAGCGAAGCAAGUGCAUCAGUCUAAGUUGGAAACAGACCGUUCCAGCCCGCUCUGAGCACAUACAAGGCGAGACGAAGGACCCUUUUAGCAAUCAUGUCAACUGGAUAUUGAAUGAAGUCGUGGACGGCAGCCACCAGCGAGGAGAGGAAGGCACAAGGCCUAGGUUCGACUCUCUUUGUUCCAUCGUCAUCCUUCGUUGUAAACGGUGGCCGUCUGGGAUCCGGAUUUGGGCGAACCCGCCUUCCUGCAGAACCUGGAGGAGCCGGUCCCUGGACAGCCGUUUCAGCUCCGCAGCCAUCUGCUCCUCCCCCGAGCCACCACUGAUCUUCUCUCUAAAAUCGCUCACCCUCUGAGCUCGCUUCUGCAGUGUGGAUGGUGCCGCUUCACUGGAUUUUUUCUGGGACACUGGCACUUGUACAAAGUGCAGUGGCUGUACAAUAAGAGAAAGGACAUUGCUUACUUGGAAGUUCCUUGUACAUGUAAUUUUUUAUAUGUACAUUUCUCAUGUAAAGAAAUAAUAUU